RNAcentral lists this long non-coding RNA (1229 nucleotides) under Populus trichocarpa (black cottonwood). Its description in RNAcentral is "long non-coding RNA (PTRI_LNC002160)". Lineage: Eukaryota; Viridiplantae; Streptophyta; Magnoliopsida; Malpighiales; Salicaceae. The record is from RNAcentral.
CUCACUAUGUUAUCUGCAACUCGGUGACACAAAUAGCUUUUUUUUUUGGGUCACUUGAUCCUCUCACUAGCAAUUUCACUGGCACAAUAUCACAAGCUCAGGUUUUGAUAAAUGAUAAUGCCAAGGAUCCCUGCAACUGCAAGUGUUGCCUUUGUUAUCUUGCAAAGGUGGACCUGCGAUAAUUUGGAGUCUUGCGUUCAUUUGCUCAGCAAGCAAGAAAUGAAAAGCUGUAGGCAGUCUUUGUCAAAUGACUUGGAAGUUCCAUUCACAGGUGUACGGUCCACGUUGCUCAACAUGUAAAACCUCGGUUACUCAAUUAUUUUGUCUUGUCUUGCUGUGCAAUCCUUUCACACCUCUUUUCUUGAACUUUCUCCUAUUUAUAUCAACAAAAUUAAAAUUCAAUCUCAGUUACUAAUAUUUUAGCUUGAUUGGGAACAUGGGGAUUUUUACUUUCUGUAGAGAGAGAAAUGCAUGAAAGCACAGAAUACUUUGUGCAGACUCAGCAAAUUCUUUCUGCUUUUGUUUCUGGUCUUAGUUCCAAAAAUAGAUAUAAAACCAAAAAGUGGAACCAGGGGGGGCACCCCAUGAGGUUCUAUUUCUUGUCUUUGCGUACCUCGAUGUACCUGAGCUUCACGAGUGAAGCUUGCAUGCUGCUCAGAGAUGCCGUGAACAAAGAUGUAUUAUCAUGGCGGGAUAUCAUCAUUGAAAAGCCUUUGAACUCGAGAUUGUAUGAUGAGAUUCUGGUGCAAAUCACUUCGAAGGCGAAUGGAAAACUGAGAACUUUGCCUCUUUUAAACUGUUUCGAGAUCACAGGAUAUGGGCUUCAAACCGUCAUGGAUAAAAAUCCUUGAAUCAGUAAGGUAUGGUUACCAAAUCGACCUUCUUUUGUUUCUUAUUUUUCGUUUUUUUUUAUAUAAUGAUUAAAUUGAUUUUCCUCGCUCUUUGGCUUUGCUAUUUUAGGGGGGGGGGGGGGAAUUUUGAUAUUUGCCACAGUUUUUCUAAUAACCAAUUAUCUAGGUUAAGGUGGACUGGAUAGGAUUAGUUUGGUACUGGGGAUUGCUUUGAAGCAAAAGAUACCUAAUCUUAUCAGUUAUAAAUGGAUAGACUCGCUUAGAUGUUGACUUGCGAUAGUUCGAGAAAUGGAUGAGUGGCUUCCUGAGGCAAAGCAUAAUUAAAGUAUUUCACGUGAAUUAUAUAUUUUUAGUCAAUGGAAUUAAUUAGUCGAUCGA